RNAcentral lists this ribosomal RNA (488 nucleotides) under uncultured bacterium. RNAcentral describes it as "bacterial SSU rRNA". It matches the Rfam family "Bacterial small subunit ribosomal RNA", at positions 501 to 989 of the family's 1533-position model. The record is from RNAcentral.
CUACGUGCCAGCAGCCGCGGUAAUACGGAGGAUGCGAGCGUUAUCCGGAUUUAUUGGGUUUAAAGGGUGCGUAGGUUGUUCGGUAAGUCAGCGGUGAAACCUGAGCGCUCAACGUUCAGCCUGCCGUUGAAACUGCCGGGCUUGAGUUCAGUGGCGGCAGGCGGAAUUCGUGGUGUAGCGGUGAAAUGCAUAGAUAUCACGAGGAACUCCGAUUGCGAAGGCAGCUUGCCAUACUGCGACUGACACUGAAGCACGAAGGCGUGGGUAUCAAACAGGAUUAGAUACCCUGGUAGUCCACGCAGUAAACGAUGAUUACUAGGAGUUUGCGAUAUACCGUCAAGCUUCCACAGCGAAAGCGUUAAGUAAUCCACCUGGGGAGUACGCCGGCAACGGUGAAACUCAAAGGAAUUGACGGGGACCCGCACAAGCAGCGGAGCAUGUGGUUUAAUUCGAAGCAACGCGAAGAACCUUACCAAGUCUUGACAUCC